AAAUUGAAGAGUUUGAUCAUGGCUCAGAUUGAACGCUGGCGGCAGGCCUAACACAUGCAAGUCGAACGGUAACAGAAAGCAGCUUGCUGCUUUGCUGACGAGUGGCGGACGGGUGAGUAAUGUCUGGGAAACUGCCUGAUGGAGGGGGAUAACUACUGGAAACGGUAGCUAAUACCGCAUAACGUCGCAAGACCAAAGAGGGGGACCUUCGGGCCUCU
This 218-nucleotide ribosomal RNA is filed under the name Escherichia coli. Its description in RNAcentral is "partial 16S ribosomal RNA". It matches the Rfam family "Bacterial small subunit ribosomal RNA", at positions 1 to 217 of the family's 1533-position model. Lineage: Bacteria; Pseudomonadati; Pseudomonadota; Gammaproteobacteria; Enterobacterales; Enterobacteriaceae. The record is from RNAcentral.